RNAcentral lists this ribosomal RNA (496 nucleotides) under uncultured bacterium. Its description in RNAcentral is "partial 16S ribosomal RNA". It matches the Rfam family "Bacterial small subunit ribosomal RNA", at positions 29 to 507 of the family's 1533-position model. The record is from RNAcentral.
AUGAACGCUGGCGGCGUGCCUAAUACAUGCAAGUCGAGCGAACAGACGAGGAGCUUGCUCCUCUGACGUUAGCGGCGGACGGGUGAGUAACACGUGGAUAACCUACCUAUAAGUCUGGGAUAACUUCGGGAAACCGGAGCUAAUACCGGAUAAUAUAUUGAACCGCAUGGUUCAAUAGUGAAAUACGGUUUUGCUGUCACUUAUAGAUGGAUCCGCGCCGCAUUAGCUAGUUGGUAAGGUAACGGCUUACCAAGGCAACGAUGCGUAGCCGACCUGAGAGGGUGAUCGGCCACACUGGAACUGAGACACGGUCCAGACUCCUACGGGAGGCAGCAGUAGGGAAUCUUCCGCAAAGGGCGAAAGCCUGACGGAGCAACGCCGCGUGAGUGAUGAAGGUCUUCGGAUCGUAAAACUCUGUUAUUAGGGAAGAACAAAUGUGUAAGUAACUAUGCACGUCUUGACGGUACCUAAUCAGAAAGCCACGGCUAACUACGUG